UGGCUACAAAAGAGGUUACACUAUAGCCACUCAUUUUACUUGGCCACAAGAAGGUUUCACCAUAGCCACUUCUUUUGCCACAUCAUUCUCUUUUUCUUUUAAGCCAAUAUUUAAAUAUUGGCUUAAAAGAAAAAGAGAAUGAUGUGGCAAAAGAAGUGGCUAUGGUGAAACCUUCUUGUGGCCAAGUAAAAUGAGUGGCUAUAGUGUAACCUCUUUUGUAGCCA
MicroRNA precursor from Lupinus angustifolius (narrow-leaved blue lupine), 224 nucleotides. It matches the Rfam family "MIR6217 microRNA precursor family". The record is from Rfam. Lineage: Eukaryota; Viridiplantae; Streptophyta; Magnoliopsida; Fabales; Fabaceae.